RNAcentral lists this ribosomal RNA (497 nucleotides) under uncultured bacterium. Its description in RNAcentral is "partial 16S ribosomal RNA". It matches the Rfam family "Bacterial small subunit ribosomal RNA", at positions 28 to 507 of the family's 1533-position model. The record is from RNAcentral.
GAUGAACGCUGGCGGCGUGCCUAAUACAUGCAAGUCGAGCGAACAGACGAGGAGCUUGCUCCUCUGACGUUAGCGGCGGACGGGUGAGUAACACGUGGAUAACCUACCUAUAAGACUGGGAUAACUUCGGGAAACCGGAGCUAAUACCGGAUAAUAUAUUGAACCGCAUGGUUCAAUAGUGAAAGACGGUUUUGCUGUCACUUAUAGAUGGAUCCGCGCCGCAUUAGCUAGUUGGUAAGGUAACGGCUUACCAAGGCAACGAUGCGUAGCCGACCUGAGAGGGUGAUCGGCCACACUGGAACUGAGACACGGUCCAGACUCCUACGGGAGGCAGCAGUAGGGAAUCUUCCGCAAUGGGCGAAAGCUUGACGGAGCAACGCCGCGUGAGUGAUGAAGGUCUUCCGAUCGUAAAACUCUGUUAUUAGGGAAGAACAAAUGUGUAAGUAACUAUGCACGUCUUGACGGUACCUAAUCAGAAAGCCACGGCUAACUACGUG